RNAcentral lists this ribosomal RNA (251 nucleotides) under uncultured Bacteroides sp. RNAcentral's name for it is "partial 16S ribosomal RNA". It matches the Rfam family "Bacterial small subunit ribosomal RNA", at positions 88 to 339 of the family's 1533-position model. The record is from RNAcentral. Lineage: Bacteria; Pseudomonadati; Bacteroidota; Bacteroidia; Bacteroidales; Bacteroidaceae.
AUGGCGACCGGCGCACGGGUGAGUAACACGUAUCCAACCUUCCGUACACUCAGGGAUAGCCUUUCGAAAGAAAGAUUAAUACCUGAUGGUAUCUUAAGCACGCAUGUAAUUAAGAUUAAAGAUUUAUCGGUAAGCGAUGGGGAUGCGUUCCAUUAGGUAGUAGGCGGGGUAACGGCCCACCUAGCCGACGAUGGAUAGGGGUUCUGAGAGGAAGGUCCCCCACAUUGGAACUGAGACACGGUCCAAACUCC